This 468-nucleotide ribosomal RNA is filed under the name uncultured bacterium. RNAcentral describes it as "partial 16S ribosomal RNA". It matches the Rfam family "Bacterial small subunit ribosomal RNA", at positions 28 to 507 of the family's 1533-position model. The record is from RNAcentral.
GACGAACGCUGGCGGCGUGCUUAACACAUGCAAGUCGAACGGAAAGGCCAUGAUUUUGUGGGGUGCUCGAGAGGCGAACGGGGGUGAAACACGUGAGUAACCUGUACUUGACUUAGGGGUAACUUCUGGAAACUGGGGCUAAUAUCGGAGAGGAGAUCCUGCUGCGUGUGGUGGGUUGGAAAGUUUCGGCGGUUGGGGCUGGACUCGCGGCUUAUGCGCUUGAUGGGGGGGUAGGUGCUUACCAAGGCUAUGACGGGUAGGCGGCCUGAGAGCGUGACCGGCCACAUUGCGACUGAGAUACGGACCAGACGCCUACGUGAGGCAGUAGUCGGGAGUAUUGCACAACGGGCCGAAGCCUGAUGUAGCAACGCUCCGUGCGUGAUGACGUCCUUCGGGUUGUAAACCGCUUUCGCAGUUGACGAAGCCUUCGUGACGGUACCGGGUCAAGAAGCCCCGGCUAACUACGUG